AUUUAUAUAGUUUAAAUUAAAACAUUACACUUUCACUGUAAAAAUACUACAACUAGUUAUAAAUU
This 65-nucleotide transfer RNA is filed under the name Laxta sp. AUS2. RNAcentral's name for it is "tRNA-Glu". It matches the Rfam family "tRNA". Rfam says of the family: Transfer RNA (tRNA) molecules are approximately 80 nucleotides in length. Their secondary structure includes four short double-helical elements and three loops (D, anti-codon, and T loops). The record is from RNAcentral. Lineage: Eukaryota; Metazoa; Arthropoda; Insecta; Blattodea; Blaberidae.